AUGUCAAAAAUGGUGGGCCUCCAAUUCUCCUUUAAAUAUCGUCAUGGUCCUGACAACGGUACGAUGGACGCACUGCCUCGUGUUGGGCAUCUUCUCUCCCUUGACGCCCUGUCCAUAUGUCAGCCACUAUGGUUCCAGGAUGUUGCCAACUCUUACGAGACAGAUACAGACAUUCAAGACUUGCUCCAGGGCCUUGCUCUAUCCAGCCCUAACGAGCACGACUACGAAUUGCGUCAAGGUAUCAUCCGCCUCCACGACAUGAUUUGGAUUGGCGCUAAUACCACCCUCCAGACAAAGCUCAUCAAUGCUUUUCAUGCAAGCGCAGUCGGGGGUCACUCUGGCGUGACUACGACAUACCAGUGGGUGAAGAAGUUGUUUGCUUGGAGUGGCAUCAAACAAGCUGUUGAGGAUUUUGUGCGACAGUGCACGGUCUGCCAAGAGGCCAAGAAUGAGCAUAUAAAGACCCCAGACCUACUACAACCCCUACCAAUACCACUGAGCCAUGGCGUGACCUCACCAUGGACUUCAUUGAAGGCCUGCCAGCAUCCGAAGGCUAUAAGAUAA
Molecule: ribosomal RNA, 564 nt
Filed under: Triticum aestivum (bread wheat)
Lineage: Eukaryota; Viridiplantae; Streptophyta; Magnoliopsida; Poales; Poaceae
Description: partial small subunit ribosomal RNA
Source: RNAcentral